GGGGGAAUAGGCUUUGUCGUGCCCUCUUCACGACUGUCUUGGUGUGUUUGGACCAUGAUAGUUUGUUGGUGAUGUGGACACCAAGGAAAAUUUUGCUCCCAACCUGCUCCACAGCAGCCCCAUCGUGGAGGGAGAAGUUGUUGUCCUUGCACCAUACGAUCAGAUCUGACCUCUUCCCUAUAGGCUGUCUCGUCGUUGUCUGUGAUCAGGCCUACCACUGUUGUCAUCGGCAAACUUAAUGAUGGUGUUGGAGUCGUGCCUGGCCAUGCAGUCAUGAGUGAACAGGGAGUACAGGAGGGGACUGAGCACGCACCCCUGAGGGACCCCUGUGUUGAGGAUCAGCGUGGCGGAUGUGUUGUUACCUACCCUUACCACCUGGGGGCAGCCAGUCAGGAAGUCCAGGAUCCAGUUGCAGAGAGAGGUGUUUAGUCCCAGGUUCCUUAGCUUAUUGAUGAGUUUUGAGGGCACUAAGCUGAGGUGAACACUAAGCUGUAGUCAAUGAAAAGCAUUCUCACAUAGGUGUUCCUUUUGUCCAGGUGGGAAAGAGCUGUGUGGAUUGCAAUAGAGAUUGCAUCAUUUGUAGAUCUGUUGGGGCGGUGUGCAAAUUGGAGUGGGUCUAGGGUUUCUGGGAUAAUGGUGUUGAUGUGACCCAUGACCAGCCUUUCAAAGCACUUCAUGGCGGCAGACGUGAGUGCUACGGGUCGGUAGUCAUUUAGGCAGGUUACCUUGGUGUUCUUGGGCACAGGGACUAUGGUGGUCUGCUUGAAACAUGUUGGUAUUACAGACUCAGUCAGGGACAGGUUGAAAAUGUCAGUGAAGACACUUGCCAGUUGGUCAGCACAUGCUUGGAGUACACAUCCUGGUAAUCCGUCUGGCCGUGCGGCAUUGUGAAUGUUGACCUGUUUAAAGGUCUUACAUCGGCUGUGGAUGUGAGUACGUAUGGUCACUGUGGGGACGACGUCGUCGAUGCACUUAAUUUGUAAGUCGCUCUGGAUAAGAGCGUCUGCUAAAUGACUUAAAUGUAAAUGUAUUGAUGAAGCCAGUGACUGAUGUGGUGUACUCCUCAAUGCCAUUGGAUGAAUACCGGAACAUAUUCCAGUAUGUGCUAGCAAAACAGUCCUGUAGCUUAGCAUCUGCUUCAUCUGACCACUUUCUUAUUGACUGAGUCACUGGUGCUCCCUGCUUCCUAUUUUUUACUUGUCAGCAGGAAUCAGGAGGAUACAAUUAUGGUCAGAUUUGCCAAAUGGAGGGUGAGCUUUGUAUGCGUCUCUGUGUGUGGAGUAAAAGUGGUCCAGAGUUUUUUCCCCUCUGGUUGCACAUUUAACAUGUUGGUAGAAAUGAGAUAAAACGGAUUUGAGUUUCCCUGCAUUAAAGUCCCCAGCCACUAGGAGCGCCACCUCUGGAUAAGCGUUUUCCUGUUUGCUUAUGGUCGUAUACAGAUCAUAAAGCAGGUCUACAGUGAUAAUGUGGUUUAGUGAUUGUAGCAGAGAUUAUAACGGUUUCAUAAAAUGGAUAUUAGCUGGUUGUAGCUGAGUUUGGUUUAUAUUGAUAGAUGUUAUGAAGUUAUAAAUGUGAAAUACUAGGGUGUAGUAUAUUAUCAGGUUAUAAAGGUUAUAAGCUAGUACAUGGCUAAUAGAUGCAUAAUAAGGAAUCUAUCAGUAUAUAAUACCCUGGGGUAUAGUUAUAAAGCAUGUGUAAUACCCUGGGGUAUAGUUAUAAAGCAUGUGUAAUACCCUGGGGUAUAGUUAUAAAGCAUGUGUAAUACCCUGGGGUAUAGUUAUAAAGCAUGUGUAACACCCUGGGGUAUAGUUAUAAAGCAUGUGUAACAACCUGGUGUAUAGUUAUAAAACAUGUCUAAUAAUAUGGUCUAGUUAUUGUAGCAGAUGUUAUUAAGGUGUACAUGCUGUUGGAGCGGAGUUUAAUUUAGCAUGUGUAAUUGCCCGGUGUAUACAGAGACAAUACAUGUGUAAUUGCCCGGUGUAUACAGAGACAAUACAUGUGUAAUUGCCCGGUGUAUACAGAGACAAUACAUGUGUAAUUGCCCGGUGUAUAUAGAGACAAUACAUGUGUAAUUACCCGGUGUAUAUAGAGACAAUACAU
Molecule: long non-coding RNA, 2100 nt
Filed under: Salmo salar (Atlantic salmon)
Lineage: Eukaryota; Metazoa; Chordata; Actinopteri; Salmoniformes; Salmonidae
Description: lncRNA (ENSSSAG00000092005.1)
Rfam family: UnaL2 LINE 3' element (bases 968-1020)
Source: RNAcentral